GCCGCCGUGCCGCUGGAACACAAUUGCUGUUCUCACCCUGAAGCAAAGUUCUUAACCCGAGGUACUAUUUCUGGGUUAGCGGACUCUGUAACCUGAAGCGUAUGUAACCUGAUGUAUAUGUAACCCGAGGUACCACUGUAGAGUGUCGUUUAUUUCAGAUACAAACAAACUUUAACUGCAUUCCAUCCGUUGUUACUCUUUACCUUCCUAGUCUUAUUUAAUCCUAUCUCUAUCUCUUUUACCUCCCCUGACACAAUAACCAACUGCACUAACUGUCUCUCUGUUACCAACUGCCUGCCAACUGCUUUUCCAACUGCCUUUCCCAACCAGCCAACCAACCCACCCACUAAAACCAACCAACCAAAUAACGCAAGCCUUGGGCAAACCCUUUUAUAAACAGGUAGGCUCCGCCUCCGGCUUUCCUAUUGGUUGACAUUUUAACCCUUUCUCUCCCCCCGUACAGCCAUUUUCUAAACGAACGGGCAAACGCCACACUCCCAUUCCACCCCAAUGAUUGUUGAAUCUAUACCCAGGGAGUGCUGAGAUUUUUGUUGAUCGGAUGUUUGCAGGCAACACCCUACUUGUGUUGGGUGGACCGCUACAGUAGUUGCCUUUCUGCUUUUACACACUAGCAAAAUUCCUUACUCUAACUUGAUGCCUAAGUCUUGCACUUUCAUGUUUAGCAAAGCCCUUGAGAUUCCUGUGCAAGACAAAUUUGUCGGCUCUUAAACUGCAUUAACUUUCAACUCUAGCAUGCCCUGCUAAAUCCCUUAAGCAACAAUUAUCAUUAUCAAUAUUUGAUAUGUAGCUUAUAAUUCCCAUGCAUAUUUCAGAAAAGCAUAUUUUAUAUAUUUGAUGUUGAAUCUGCCAAGUGAAGGUUCCUCACAGACAAAAAAAAGGAGGAAAAAAUGGACAGUGGAGCACAGUUACUGGGACAUUGUGGAGCAGAGGAUGCAAAACAAGUUCUACAUGGUGAAAGUAAUUUUUUAACCGUGCCUCAGAAAGUGUUUGUUACUUGAUUUGCUAAGAAGUGUAGUGGUCAAGUCUUACUGAACUUUAGAAACGGUUAGAGCAUCACAACCAUUCAUUUGAAAAUGGUAAAAUUGGCAUAGUAUUUUUUAAAUGCCUUUUAAUCUUCAGGAUAUACUUUAAGUAGGGGCUACAUUACGUCUGCCAGAAAGGAGAUUGUGGAGUAGAUGAAUGCUCAGUUUGGAAUUUUCAUUGAAGGAUUUUCAUAGAAAGCAAGGGCACAUACAAUGUCUCUGUUCUCGGUUCAUAGAGUCCUUUCUACAGGUCAGUUAGAUUUGGUUCUGAAGUGCUGCUGUCAUAGACCUUGUGAGGUGCGGGGGCGGGGGGCAGGGAGUCAACUGGGGAGAGGGGGUGGAAAGAAAUGGGGUAAUGAUUUUCCAUUCUUUUGCUUUGCAUAUGUGUUGGGUUUUUGUGUCAACAUCACAAGGAUAGGUUUUUUAUUUGUCUGUUUUGGUGGUGCGACAGUUGAAAACAAGAAUUCAAAAGCACACAUGAAAUAGGCCAGCAGCCCAAUUCUAACAUUUCCUGCCUAGGAAUAUCCUGAAAGUUGUGCAUGUUCUGUGCUGCCAGACAUGAGCCCCGUUCAGGUAUUCAGACAAAUUUCAGAAUGGUUUAACAGUCAUUCCCUGUUCAAAGGGAACUCUGGGAAUUGUAGUUCUCUGAGGAAAACAGGGUCUCCUAACAGUUCUCAGUUCCCAUGAUUUUUUUGAGAGAGGCCAUGACUGUUUGAAAUGGUACAAUAGCACUUUAAAUUUAUGGUGUAGAUGAGGCCAAAUAAGGACUGUGUGGAAAUGAUGCCUUCUUAUAUCCCCAGUCUCUUCACAUGUUACUAUUUUAGGUUUCCACUGAAGUUUAUUAAAAGUGCACACUUAAAAUUAUAAAAUGUAAAUGUGACAAACCAAUGUCUGAAAGCACAUGUAUGUUGUUGGGUGCAGUUGGCAAACCUAAAUUGGUUGCUGGGCAAUAUGUGAAACGUCCCUAAUUGAUUUCUGAGGUGAGACCCAAGAGGCAAAGGUUUAAAUAAAAGUAAGGAUGUCAGAGCCAAACCAUUAAUAGCUUUGCAAGUGGGGGUUUAAAAUUCCUUUGGCGCUCCCUUUGUUUAAGGUCAUAUGUUCACAAAUGUCAGAAAUAAUCCUGCAUUUUAACUCCACACUUCAGGCACUGUUUAAAGUUCACAUUGAAAUGGAUCGCAUGCCAGUUUAAACAAGAACUGAGUGACUUCUAAAACUGUAAGACAGGUCAAUAAACAGGAAGGGCACCUAGGAGAGAAACUUGUUUAGUCUCCCUUUUUUCCAGGAAAGGUGGCUCUUCCUUAUUAGGGUACGAUCCGCUUAACGUUGGAAUAGAAGAAUAUCUUGAGCAGGCAGGUUUUCAUUCUUCCAUAACACCUAGAUGCAUCUCUGCACGGGAUUUCUCCAUUUGCAGUAGUGUAUGAAGAGUAGGCAAACGGGGCACAAAACAGGCAGGUGUGCAAAACCAGGUAAUACGUUUGCAGUUAUUGUAAUAACAGCGAGUGUGUGCAUAUAUGUGUUGGCCUUCCAAGGGACUGGGGUAAAGGUUGGGUCCAGCAGAAUCAAUCUGAGCUUUGAUGAGCACGAAAGAGUGGAAGGAAGAAAUGGGAAGACUGGCACUUAGAACUGGAGGAGGAAGUGAGAGUCCCACUCUUUCCCAUUUCCCCCUUCAGUUCCGUUGUGUUUUUUAAGGGAGAAAAAGGUAAUGAACCAGUGCCUUUUUUGCCUCCGAGGAGGCACUGAAGGGUACGCAGUACCGGCACCCCUUUUUGUUGUUGUUGUUAAAAAGUGUGGCACUUACUGCAACAACUUCAUGGUGAGUACCAGAACCUAUUUUUCUAGGAAAAAAAGCACUGGUAACCACCCUCACCAACUCAUGAGCAAGGGGGUAGUGUGUGUUAUGGGGGGGGGGGAUAAGAGACUUAGUAGGCAAUGGGAAAACCUCAAAGUUUCCAUUGAGUUUACAGGCACCAUGUUGGUGACCCUGCAGUAAAACAUAUUCUUUCAUUACAUAGAGGGGGGGGGGGUGCAAGAAUUUCCCACGCCUUCCAUUACUCCAUUUGUUCUCAGUAUCAAAACUGUUACUCGUUUCUUCGGUCAUUUAUUUCAAUAUUCAUUUGUUGAUGUUUGUUGCUGGUGGUGGAAUACAGUUAAUUUCCCUUGCAGCUUCAGGCAGCCGCCAUUUUAUUUUUCUCCUGUUAUGUACUGAAGUUCUCACCCUGGGCCAGAAGGGGGAUACUGUAGAUACAGUUUUCACUCAGGUCCGCAUAUGCAAAUAAGGAAUUGAAAGUGACAUUCAGUGAUUGGAUAGUUACAGAAAGUUGUUACUGUUGCCGUGUAGUAGAGCUCUAUAUAAGCAGGUUUGCUGAACCCUUCAGCCCUGUUCUGUUCUGGCCUGUGAAUAAACAAGAGCUGUCUGAAGAAUUGCUGUGUCAUCUGAUAUGUUCACCCACAACUUAACACCUCCUAUGCCCCAGACAUUGCAUCAUUAGGGCAUUCUGGGAAAAUAAAAUGGCAGCUGCCACCAGCAGCCACCCAAAUCAUCUGCCGCCGCCACCUCUGCAGAACGCUAAGGGCUCCUGCCCCAAAGAGUAGGAAUGGGUACAAAUUUGAGUGGCAAAAACCAUCUGGUACUUAAACACAUUAGUUUCAGAACAAAUGAAAACUGAGCUGGGUGGGCCAUAUUCAGUUCAGUUUUUCAUGUGAUAUGAAUGCACACACCGAGCCACUAUGGAGCUGGUGGCAGAGAAGAAAUUAUUAUUAUUAUUAUUAUUAUUAUUAUUAUUAUUAUUGGCCAAACAUUUGUGUGCCACUCAGUAACAAAGUUUCCAGGCAGAGUACAAUAAAUAUGAAAGCAAUUUAAACACAAAACAGAAAAUAUUAAAUUGAAAGACACUUGAUUCACAUGAAAACAAGAAAGGAACCCUGCUGUACCAGACCAAAGGCCCACCUAGCCCAGAAUCCUGUUAUCACAGCAGCCUACCUUCAGUUGAAGCAGAACCAAGUUUAUUUGCACACCAGUUUCUAAGCAGGACAGCCUGAGCAGUGCGCUUUUGGAGUUUCAGCAGCGUCGCUCUCUUAAGGCCCACAGCCAUUAUUAAUUCAUCUCAGUGCUUUAGCAUUCUCCUUCCCGUUUUCACAGUUUCAUGUUUCAUGGAUUGCUUACACACUUAUGCUGCUGAGGCACUGCGUUUCUGCAAUAAGCUAAAAGCAGAAUUAAAACGGAGGUUCCUCCUGGUACUUGAGUGAUAUGAACAUAACCUCCAAGUGUCCCUAUUUUCCAGGGACAGUUCUGGAAUUACAAAAGCCAUCCUGUCUUCUGAUGUAAUUCCAGAAUGUCCGGUGUGGUGUAGUGGUUAAGAGCAGAGGACUCGUAAUCUGGUGAACAGGGUUCGCUUCUCCGCUCCUCCACAUGCAGCUGCUGGGUGACCUUGGGCUAGGCACACUUCUCUGAAGUCUCUCAGCCUCACUCACCUCACAGAGUGUUUGCUGUGGGGGAGGAAGAGAAAGGAGACUUUGAGACUCCUUAGGGUAGUGAUAAAGCGGGAUAUCAAAUCCAAACUCCUCUUCUUCUUCUUCUUCUUCUUCUUCUUCUUCUUCUUCUUCUAUUUCAUCUGCCACUGCUGCCGCCACUGAGCUCAAGGAGGAGGAUGAGCUGGUGCUUGUCCCGAGCGACAACAGCUGCAAGGGAUUAUCCCAUGGCCUCUUCAUGGCCACUCCUGCCGGCCUCCUCCUUUGGGCGGCUUGUAGUGGCUUCUGGAGAGGGGGCGAGGAGAAGGAGAGGCUGCAGCCGCGGUUGCCCAGCCCUGUGUGCCACACCAGGUCUUAGGGGCAGGCAGAGGGCAGGGCCUACCUAGGAAGGAAGGAAGGAAGGAAGGAAGGAAGGAAGGAAGGAAGGAAGGAAGGGGGAGCCGAGUGCAGUUCAAGGAGUCUUGUUUUUUUUAAAAAAUAAUAAUAGUGCAUUCGUGUUUAAUCUUGUCCCUUUCUAAAAUUUAUUUACUGGUGUGUGUGUGUGUUUUGUAAAUCUACCAAAGGAUAAAAUAAAAUAGCAUAAGGGGUUUUCUCAGGAAAGUGGGGGGCCUGUGUGCUGUGUCCCAUUGGUGUACUGGUGGCGGCACUUUAUUCUGAUAAAUGCCAGGGGGGAAUGGACGGACAAUAAAUGGGGGGGGGGUUGAGGAGGGUCAGUUGAGGGGGGAGUGAGAAAUACCCCCUUUUUCAUCUGUGGAAUGUUGGAGGGUAUGUAUUAACUUGCAAUGCCACUCCUAUUACCAAGUCAUUUGCUCCCAAGUAAGUGCAAUUCAGCAAAGGCUCUCUGCUUUAUAUAAGUGUGUAUUCUUAGGACUGACCUUAUUUUGUGAUUGUAAGUUGCUUAAACUGUUUUUAAUAUUGUGUUUUUAUGUUGUAACCUGGGGCCUUAGGGUGAAAGAAAUGUGGUUAUUAUUAUGAAUAACAACAUAUAUUAUUAUCUGUUGUUCAUUGUUUACACAAUCUCAGAGUAAGCAAUAAGUUUCCUCCUUGUUGGCUCAGCUCAUUUUAUUGCUUUCUGAUGAACUUGACAGAGGAUUACUGAUGAAUUGCCCCCAGAAUAGCUUAUCUUAAUUGUCUCAAUAUCAGUUUCUGUUCCCAGAGGGGGAGUCCUUAAUUUUCUAUUUCCUUGCAUUGACACUUAUUCAAUUUUUUUAAAAAAGAAGAACACAAUAAUGAAAGGAAACCAGUGAUUAAAGCUUUCCCCCACUAUGGGAGCACAAACUGACUGGGUUAAUUAAUUAACUACACAUAGAAGACCUGCAAAUCAGAUAUUUUUUAAAAGAAAGGUUCAGGCGAGCUUUAAAAACCUCCGAAGUUCUUUGCCUGUCUGCAGUCUUGGACUGCAACUGCACUCUGUUGACAAUGCAUCUAGUCAUUAAAAAAAUUACAGGAGAACAAUGCAGGAAACCCUGAACUGCAAUAACCAUCUCAAUUCUCUCUCUCUCCUUCUCUCAACAAAAAAAACCCCAAAAACCAAAAAACACCCCUGAGUGAACAAACAAUGAAAUAUCCAAAUAAAAGGGAUGAGUGGAAGCAACCUUGCUCCCUAAGGGUUCAAGGAGAGGGGCAAAGGAAUAUGUUGGCUUGUAGAGAGGAUAUUGUUGGUUGGUGUCAGAUCCCUGCUAUAAUGAACAAUGUUAGUUUGCACAAAGGAGGAUGCUAACGUAAUCCAUGAGUUCUCCUUCAAAUUACAUCACAUUUUACCUCAUUCAAAGUUAAACAGUAUGAAGGAACAUUGUGAGGCAGAGGGUACGCACUGUCCUUCAGGAUUCCCUGACCAGAAAAAAACAGCAGUAAUUAUAAUGAUAAUAAUUUAUUACUUGUACCCCGCCUACCUGACAGGGUUGCCCCAGCAACUCUGGAUGGCCUCCAACAGAAUAUUUAAAAAAACCCACAGUGAAACCUCAGACAUUUAAAAACUUUAAAAUACAGGGCUUCCUUCAGAUGUCUAUGGAAAGUCGUAUAAUUGUCUCUUGGAGAUUUGACGGGUGAGCGUUCAACAGGGCAGGCACUACUACUGAGAAGACCUUCUGCCUGUAACUCCAGGUCUUUCAGUGAGGGAACUACAAGGCCCUUGCAACUGGUCUUCAGUAUCUGGGGUGGAAACCUUCCUUCCACAAGCUAGAUGCAUGGGGUCUUACCCUAAUUUGCAGGGCUGCCCAUGGCUUUGCAUGGGCGGGCAUUCUAAGGAGGGCAAUGGUUUUUGCAGCUAAAAACUAACAUGGCUACCCCUCUAGAAACUGUCACAAAGGAGGUGGCACUUUAUUUUGGAAUAUUCUCUCUCCCCCCACCCCCCGGCUCGCUGCAGUCAAGUGACAAUUGUGGUAACCGCAGGCCCUUCUGCAGAAUGGAAGCAAUUCAGUCCUCUUGGGAAGGGCACCUUUUGUGAGAAAAAUUCCUAUUCAUGAGUCACUGAAGUGAAUGUGUAGAGUUUGGCUGGGUUGUAGAUGAUCAUUAGCCACAGCUUCUCUAGUGCCGACCAUUCAAAGCGUAUGCCGUUAGUUAUGUGGCAUCUUUUUCGGGUUUUCAUUCUGUUUCCUAGCUGCUGCCCCCUGUUACUGCCUGCAUUUAGCAAUACAAACACAAUGAGGUCUCCUCUCACACGGUGGAGGGAUCUGUGUAAUUGGGCGGAAAACUCUGAUAAUGAGACUUCAUUACAGUGAGGGAGAUGUGGCGUGGUAUAUCCUGGAUCAGCAAAAUUUGUGUCAGGAACGUUUCAAGGACACCUUGUACUCGCAUAUAGGGCAGAUAAGUUAUACCACAACUUCUUUAAAAGACUUCAAUUUAGGCUGCAAUAACAAAACACACACACACACACACACACACCAAAACCCAAACAAACUGAAUAUAUUCUUUAUAAUGGGUUUUGUUGUGGGAAAAUAGGCUGAAGAAGCAGUUGAAUUGACUUGUUAAAGAAAAAGUGACAAAGGCAGAAUAAAACAUUGCUUUGUGACUUUCAGGUUUGAAAAUUUGGGGUCAUUUCUGGCAUUUUUAAUGGCAUAAUUUUUCUGGAAUCUUGUGAAUGAACUUUGCCACUCAGAAUAAUACUCCUGCAGUGGCAAGGCAAUCGAAUGAGCCAUAGCCAGUAGUUUUCAUGCAGAUAAUUCAGCUGAAAUGGUAGCCACCAUAAAUUUUACCUUAUGCUUUAUAGCAUAACCCCUUAGUGACUUUGGCUUAGUGGAAAGCACUUCCCAGUUUCCUGAUUUCCUUUCACCAAGUAAGCCUCCACUCCUGUCAAAAAUAUGCUCCUGAGUUUUGGGGCCAGGGGAUCUUCCAGAACAUAACCAGAUGUGGUGUGGGGGGCUGCAAGAAAUAGGUCGGAUCAAUGAAAAUUGUGUGCCCUGGCUUGCACAAGCAGAUAUCCUUUCUUCACAGAAGGGUUCAUGUGGCACUGGGUUCCAAGUGUUUGAGGACAGGGACAUUCUCAGGGAAACCAAAAUCCUUGUUUACAAAGCUAUUGUACUACCAACCUUACUGUAUGCUUAUGAAACAUGGACCACUUAUAAACACCAUCUCCAACUCCUUGAAAGAUUCCAUCAACGGUGUCUCCGAAAAAUUUUGCACAUCACUUGGGAAGACAAGCGAACUAAUAUCAGUGUACUGGAAGAAGCAAAGAUCACUAGUGUUGAAACAAUGAUUCUUCAACAUCAGCUUCGUUGGACUGUUGUGCGGAUGCCUGAUUAUCGUCUUCCAAGGCAACUGCUCUAUUCCGAACUUAAGAAUGCAAAGCGUAAUGCUGGUGGUCAACAAAAGAGGUUUAAAGACUGUCUCAAGGCAAAUCUAAAAAAAUGUAGCAUAAACACUGACAACUGGGAAACACUGGCCUGCGAGCACUCCAGUUAGAGAACAGCCUUUACCAAAAGUGUCAUGGGCUUUGAAGACACUCGAACUCAGGAUGCAAGGGAGAAACAUGCUAAGAGGAAGGCACACUUGGCAAAUCCACACCGUGAUCAACUCCUGCCCAGAAACCAAUGUCCCCACUGUGGAAGGAUGUGUGGGUCCAGAAUUGGCCUCCACAGUCACUUGCGGACACAUUGUUAAAACCGUGUUUAUGGAAAACAAUCUUACUCGGCUACAAGUGAUCACCGAAGAAGAAGAAGAUGUUGAAGGUUAAAACUAUUGAUUGCUGAAAAUUUGGAGGUUGUAAGGGAUGGGGUUCUCAAGCCCCGCAAAAUCUCACUGAAAUCUGCAAGUGUAUGGACCCUGCUGGUACACCAUCUGAAUCUGAGUAAUACCACAACCAACAUGCAUUCAGUUAAAUGGGCCAGAAAAUCUUUUUUACGGAAUGCAAUAACAUUAAACACUCACAAGAUCUUGGAACAGAUUUCCAUUUCCAUGGAGUUGAAGUUCCAGGAAAGGCAGGUAGUAUUCCAUAGUUCUUCAUAUAAUUCUCUGCCCUGUGGAAAAAAAGAGAGGCAGCUAUAACAGGCACAGGUGUACCUUCAUCAAUUGUUCCCAAUCGUUUCAAAUCUUCUAGGUGAUAUUUCAAGAAGGAGGUUCUGACUAGUCAUCAAGAAUAACUUUCUGGCACUAAGAGCUGUUUGACAGUGGAAGGGACUCAGGAGGUGGUGGGCUCUCCUUCCUUGGAGGUUUAUAUGCAGAGGCUGGAUGGCCAUCUGUCAUGGAUGCUUCAGUUGAGAUGCCUGCACUGUGGGGGUUGGACUAGAUGACCCAAGGCUCCCUUCCGACUCUAUAAUUCUAUGGAUUGCAAAAGCUCUGGAUCCACAUGACAAAUCCCAGUGCUUAUUUUUCUGGGGAAACCCUUUCCCCCCAUCCCAUUAUGACCCAUGAAUGGGUAUAAUGUGGACUUGGUUAUAAAUUUUAUAUUUUAAAGCACCUUUUUAAUUUUAAACCCAAGAGUGAUGGAAAUGGUGCCCCCAGCUCCCCCCCAAACCACUGUGUUAAAUAAAGCAAAAGAUGAUAAAGGAAGCUCAGUCUCAAAAUGGUUCCAACGAAUGUGUAGUGCAGAAUGAGAUUUGUUAGCAUCUCUCUUUAGUGGAGCCGAACACCGCAGAAGCCAUAAAUAAUGCACAGCUGCUAACCAUCAUAAUUAGAAUGCCUGCUGAGAAAUGGCUGCAACACACCAGUAGGAUGGCAGUGACUAACUAUUUCAAUACACCGGCUCUGGGGAUGGGGAUGCACACAGCGUCUGGUCCCCUACUCACUGGAUCAAAUUGCCUUGGCCAAAUUGCCUUGGUCAUCAUCGCCUUGCUGAUUCAUAACCCCCCAAAAGCAGCCGCAAUGUCUCUUAAAAUCCCAGCGGUCUUUACGAAAUGUGCCACGGUAACCAUUUAUUCAGCUUGGGGCAGAUGAGGAGAGAAAUGACAAGGAAGCAGGACUAAUAAGUAGGCAUUGUUUUGUAGCAGGCUUCCCACGUUCCCAGGAUGCUAAAGAUACAUCAGCUGGGAUGACUGGGAACUGGGAACCCAGUUUUGUUGAUGUCCGUGGCGCUUUUUGUGUGUUGUACAAACAAUUCUUCAGUCUUGUGUGCAUGAUAUCCAGCCAGAAAUUUAUUCCCUUCAUACUUUUUUUUGCUAGUUUAAAUUUGUUCUCAUUUUUAAAAGCAUUAAACACACACCCAAAACAGCUUUAAAUGUAUACAGUGCUGCAGAUGACUUUUAGGGACAAAGUUGUCACACGGCUAAUUCUUCAAUGAAGAAAAAUCACAUGCAGGUAUCAGAUUUGCUAAUGCGCCACAACUCAGCAGAAGCACUCUGCAUUCUAGAAUAGUAGACUUUCCAGACACAGAGUCCUGUCAUUAGCUCAGAUAUGAAUGAUGGGACACAGUUCUCUCCCUCCCUCCCCCCUCUCUUUUACUGUUAUCUUAAGAUGGUUGGUGGACCUAUCUUAGGUCAGGGCAGGGGUCAGCAACCUUUUUCAGCCAUGGGCCAAUCCACUGCCCCUCAGACCAUGUGGUAGGCCAGACUAUAUUUUUUUUUGGGGGGGGGAGGAAUGAACAAAUUCCUAUGCCCCACAAAUAACCCAGAGAUGCAUUUAUAAAUAAAAGCACACAUUCUACUCAUGUAAAAAACCAGGCUGGCCUCAUGAAUAACCAAGAUUAUGCAUUUUAAAUAAAAGGACACAUUCUACUCAUGUAAAAACACGCUGAUUCCCGGACUGUCCAUGGGCCGGAUUGAGAAGGCCCACGGGCCUUAGGUUGCCUACCCCUGGGUCAGGCUGACUGUGACCUAGUUGUGGGUCUCAAGAAUUCACGAGUUGAGGAACUACAUACUAGACCAGGGUUUCCCAGACUUAGGUCUCCAGCUAUUGUUGGACUAAAACUCUGACCUUCCCCAGCUAGCAGGACCAGUGAUCAUGGAUAAUGGGAAUUGUAGUCCAAAAACUGCUGAAGACCAGAGUUUGGGAAACCCUGUACUAGAAUGUCCUAGACAACAGAUAAACACAAUUGCUAGAAUAGUUAUUGUAUUACGUCAUUUUAUGGUGUUUUUUUUUAAAAAAAGUAAGUCAAACCAAGCAUUCAUAGAAAACAUAAUAAUAAUAAUAAUAAUAAUAAUAAUAAUAAUAAUAAAUUUAUUUAUACCCCGCCCAUAUGGCUAGGUUUCCCCAGCCACUCUGGGUGGCUUCCAACAAAAUAUUAAAAUAAUCUGUUAAACAUUAAAAGCUUCCCUAAACUGGGCUGCCUUCAGAUGUCUGAUAAAAGUCUGGUGGUAGUUUUUCUCUUUGAGAUCUGGUGGGAGGGCGUUACACAGGACAGGUGCCACUACCAAGAAGGCCCUCUGCCUGGUUCCCUGUAACUUGGCUUCUCGCAGUGAGGGAACCACCAGAAGGCCCUCGGCACUGGACCUCAGUGUCCGGGCGGAAUGAUGGGGGUGGAGACACUCCUUCAGGUAUACUGGGCCGAGGCCAUUCAGGGCUUUAAAGGUCAGCACCAAAACUUUGAAUUGUGCUCGGAAACAUACUGGGAGCCAAUGUAGGUCUUUCAAGAUCAGUGUUAUGUGGUCUCAGCUGCCGCUCCCAGUCACCAGUCUAGCUGCCGCAUUUUGGAUUAGUUGCAGUUUCUGGGUCACCUUCAAAGGUAGCCCCACAUGAGGAAUAUAUGGGCGCAUAUUCAAAAAGUACAUUGUUUCAAAACCACUUUUGAAUUUCUGUGAUAAAGAACACUGUGCUUGAGCGUAAGGAAAGAAUGUUGUUGAAUUUUCGUCAUUUAGCUAAGUUCUCAAUACAUGACCUACUAGGUACUCAAGACUGGCAGAAAUCUCACUCACACCUCUGGUAAAAACUGAGCACAUGAUUGCUGUGUUAUAUUUGUGAGUUUGCAAGGGAGCUAUAAAUAUUUUCCAGCCCACUGCACUGUGCUCAUAAGACUGGAUGUGAGUGAAUUGUUAUGGUAUAUAGGUAGAAUGCCCAUGUAAGCGGGGAAAUAUUCAGAGCCACUCAUAAAAGAAAACAACAAAUUAAGAGUCAGGGUACUUGCUCCCCUUAAAUAAUUCUUAUGAGUUUCUGUUGCUGGGAAACCUACAGCAAACAACAGGGAAUCUUAAGAUCAUAAGGCUUAAGCCAAUUCCUCUUCCUCUCCAGGAAUUAAUUUAGCCCUUUUGGGGUAUUGAUCUGGCCCUGUUACUGUUCUGCCAGCUGUGUCAGUCAGAAGUGGAUUUUCUAUGGAGCACAGACACGUUCCAUUGAAGAAGAAGAGGAAUUAAAAAAAGUGUUUUCAGAUAAGGCUUUGCUCUCGGCUUUUUCGCUGAAGUUUUUCGGAGUAGCUGCUAUGCUGAAUCUUCUGAGGUGUGUGCAGAGUUUUUAAAAAGCUGAAAAAUAGGGGAAGCGCCUUUAGCUCAGAGGCAGAGAGGAUACACCAUGAACACAGAAUAUCUUGGAGGCAGGCAGCGUCUUGGGUCUCCUGGGCCUUUGAGGUGAGCAGAUCAUGAAUGGCAUCAGUUCAGUCAGAUAGCUAUGAUGUCUUUGUUUGAAAUCACCCAGCAAAUAUUUAUCCAUAGCCACAAGGGAUCACCUGGAAGCGAGAAUCCCUGUAAAAUAGCACUCACAUUGUGUGUGUGUUUGCAUCGUAGUGGUGAAUUGUUGAGAUUUUAUCUGAUCACAAGCUGAUGCUGGACCUGUUGAUGUUUGGGAGAAGAGCAUAGUCUCUGUUAUCAUCACCGUGAUCAAUUUAUUUAUAUGCCGUGUUUCCACUUUAGGCUUGAAACUGCCCCCAAGAACAAUAAGCAAAUCAAUAUUUGCAGGUAUGACAAAAUAUAGUUAUAUAGUCAUACAGAUAUCAAACAGAAUUCAUAAUGUAAUAAUUAAAUUCACAUUAGCAAGCUAAGCAAGAGACGGCAAUUAAAUUUUCCCCUAAACCUAUUAAAAACAUUCCUUUCAAAAAUAAGACUAAAAGAUCCUAUUCACAUUUAGCCAGCAAAUCCACUAGCUCACCCAAACCAUGAAGAUAUCGGAAGCAAAUAGCCACAGCAAUAUCAAAAUGUUACAGUUUGAACUAGUGAAAUUCAAAACCUCUCAAAACAGCAGCAUUACGAGGGCCCAGAAGUCCUAUGUCCCAGGGGACAAAGGAAGCAUUGUAUCUCCUCUUCCUGGACAGAGAGAGAUCUCUGACCUUGGAGAAGGACAACUGAUGUCAGAUUUUCCCUCCUUGUGCUGAGGAAACAUCUGUGGCAGUUGGGCACUAGAGUGCCAAUGCUGCCCUUGGUUCUUCGUUCCUUGCAUCCUAUGGCCACAUAAGUAAGGUUGCACAGCAUCUAACAUCCCUCUUCUUCCACCAAAGGUCACUCUGGGCACGGGGACUUAAUCCAGUUCACAUUUAAAGGUGAUCCUAGCUAUUUCACACUUUGCCACAUGAUAGGCAAGUCGAAACACAGGCAUCCUUUGAAAUCCCCUCUUCUCUGAAUUCUGCAAUGCAGUUCUACAGCUGAAUAAAGUGUACAAAGAUGCAUCUAUACUAGGGUAAAAUAUGUAUACAAAAUGCAGUAUUUCAGGGGGAACUGCUUUGCCACAAUGUGCAGACUGGGCAACGUUGUAGGUAAAGAUGUCUGUGUUAGAAGAAAUUUGCAGAAAAAUGCUGAUGAGGACUUUUAAAAAAACCACAAACUAUGGAAAUGUGGAGAAAUGAACUGAAGAUUAGAAAAAUGAGAGAAACCAAAAUUGACUGAUUUGCGCAUCCGUAUGUCGCUUACCCCUCUUCCAUUAUAUAUUGCUGUAGGCUCUUUCAGGCUUGCUGUGUUCUAUAUUCAGUUACUUUGUGAGACUCCACCCUCUGCAUAUUUAAAAGCCAAAAUGGUGAUUGAUCUUGUGGUAAUGGUAUCCUGGAAAGACAUAAUUAUCCAACACAGUGUUAUCAACAGUUCAAAACACACUUCAGUAGCUACAAUGGGUAAAAUGAUGGUUGUCAUGGAAGGUUUAGAGGACACACCAGUCAGAAUGCUGGGCAUAUUUUUGUACAGUGGUACCGAAGGUUAAGAACUUAAUUCAUUCUGGAGGUCCGUUCUUAACCUGAAACUGUUCUUAACCUGAAGCACCACUUUAGCUAAUGGUGCCUCCCACUGCCGCUGCAUGAUUUCAGUUCUCAUCCUGAAGCAAAGUUCUUAACCCGAGGUAAUAUUUCUGGGUUAGCGGAGUCUGUAACCUGAAGCGUCAGUAACCCAAGGUACCACUGUAUUUCCUUUUCUCAGUCACUUCCAAAUUGGCCUGUUUUCUGAGAUUCCAUCCUGAUUUGUUUGCACAAGGUUUUCAGGGAGGUUAGACAACAUUGGAAAUAUUAGCAAGCGUCUCCGGAAGAUAAGGACCAGGGACAAAAUAAACCUAAUGGUAUAUAGGGUAAGGUUACCAGGCGUCCCCGUUUCCCGGGGACGGUCCCCAGAUUUACAAAUCAGUCCCCUGACAAAAUCCUAUCAUUCCGACUCACUUCAGUGAAGUGUCCCUGGAUUCAUUGAAAAUAAUCUGGUAACCUUAAUAUAGGGAUAGUUGGGUAGACUUUUAAAGAGUGACUCAGAGCUGUCACACUAUUGCAUGUCAUAGAACACUUUCUAUUCUUAACAAGCUAAAAAGGAAGAGAGGCUGUUACACUUGUGUUCAGAGAAUAGAAUAGAAUAGAAUAGACCUUGCACUUCGUUUGGUGGUGGAAGUGUCCAUUAAUUGCAAAGUUCUAAAACUUGACCUGGACACGGCUGAGUUAAGGCAGGUUGAAAGCAUGCCAUCAAUAUUCACCGUCAGUACAAAUACUACCGUAUACAUAAAUCCCCAUCUGUCAGUAUGGAACGGUGCCGGCUCAAGUUAAUUGGACUCUUGCCCUAAAACACAGGUGCCUGGCAUUAACGUGUUUCAAUUGCCAGGCUACAAAGCAGUGGGUACCACUUCCUUCGCAGGAGGUUCCUUCCUGGUGCCAGCACAUGAAUGCUCUGGCAUUCGGCCGGCAGUACCGCUCAUCAUUCAGAAAAGGGGUAAAUGCAGGCAACAGAAGGUAUCUUAGGCCAGGGGUGAGGAAUGUUGUUUUGUUUCUUAAGCCCAAGGGCUGCAUUUCCUUUGGGGGGCGGGGCAGAGGAGUGAGAAGGGACUGAUGGGAAGGGUCAGUGGAGCAACACAUGCCAAUUUUACCCCUGUGCAGGUAGCCUAGUUUCCAUACUCAGUCCCACACCCCUCCGUAUCUCCUCCAUCCAGGCAAGGAAGAGGCAUAUUGUACACAAUCCACCCAGGCAAAACACUCAAGGAGGGUAGCAAAGCAGGGAGGUGAGGCUACGUGGGCCAGAUUGAGAUUCCUGGAGGGAGGGCCACAUCCCUGCCUUGGGCUCUUAGCUCUCACCUAUGUGUGCAUUCCGUGAGGUUUAAGUCGUGGUUGCAGAGAUGCUCCUAAGUGCUGCCUAUCAAGGCUGCAGGCAAGCAACAGAUUUUGCAGAACGUUGGAAGCUACAUUCAUACAAUUAUUCCACAGUACAGUGGUACCUUGGGUUACAUACGCUUCAGGUUACAGACACUUCAGGUUACAGACUCUGCUAAUCAAGCAAUAGUACCUCAGGUUAAGAACUUUGCUUCAGGAUGAGAACAGAAAUCGUGUGGCGCCAGCGCUGCAAGACCCCAUUAGCUAAAGUGGUCUUGAGGUUAAGAACAGUUUCAGGUUAAGAACGGACCUCCAGAACAAAUUAAGUUCUUAACCUGAGGUACCACUGUAUUCUUUCCUUAUAGGUUUUGCAUGUGUAUCUGGUGCUUCAAGCAACACCCUCGAAAUCUAUUCCAUAUAAUUUAUUACAACACUUAUCACCCACAUUUCUUCCAAGUUGCUCAAGGUUGUGUAUAUGGUUCUCCCCUCCCAUUUUAUCCUCACUGUAUAACAGUGUUUGGCCUAAGGUAAUGCAACAUUUUGGUCCAGCAGGGAUGGGUCAUUUGACACCCUUCCCCCAACCUUUGCGACACCAGCUUAAGCCAGGCUCUGGGAAAGAGGCAUGAGGGUGUAUGGGCAAUUUAUCCGGAAGAUAAUUGUAUAUAGAGGAGUUAGUGAUCUGGCGUGGUUGCCGUCUUCCUGCUCUCUGUUCCUCCCCCCUCCCCUUGUCUCUUAAGUUCUUUGAUGGCACGAGAACAGCCUUUAAUGUCCUAAUCUGGUGGAAGGAAGUGAUAGGGCUAGGUACCUUCUUUGAUGUUGGACAUUGUUUCGAGAAAGUGAGGCAUUGGGAAGGGGUGGCUUAUGAAUAAUCUGUACAUAGCCAAUAAUAAAUGAUCUACACAUAGUCUGUCGGGCAAGCCACACAUGCUAGCUUUCUAUAAAUUGGAUGGUUUGGGCCAGAAUUGGGAGAAGCUUGUGCAUGGACUGAUCAGCCAUGGGGCCGUGCAAACUGAGGCUACCUGGGGGAGUCACUUCGCCACUUCUUGAGGGCUUCCAAGUAGCAGGCUGAGGUGCUUGCUUGGUAUGUACAUAUUGCUUGCUGUUUAGAAUAAAAUCUUUAAUCUUCUCACUCACUUGUGUUUUGUAUUGCUUCUGAAUCUCAUUUUAAAAGAGCUACCUUGCAUUUGGCAAGACAAAGGGCUCUGGACCUAGAGCCCUCUUACCUCCUCCCCAGAGCCCUGUAAACACUUGGGAAGAGGGAUGUAGGACUCCAGGACCCUGUUGGAGCCCUUACACCUCCUUCCCGAAGCUGGGCAAGAGCAUAAUGGGCUUUGAGAAGAUGUCCUCUUCAACUGUGCACCUGCUGCAACUAUACCACUCACAAUGCCCUAAAUCCGCCUCUAGGUCAGGGCUGGCUGGGGCUGAUGAAGUUGUAGACCACCAACAUAUGAAGAACAUUACCUUGGCUAUUCUUGCUCAGAGGUAUCUUGGACUUCAGUUUAAAAGGUCCACUCAGUCUGGAAACAAAUGAGCAACUUUUGUUUCCCCUCCCCUCUCUUUUAGCAUAGGCUUUGUGUCAUCCACACAUGAAACUAGCACUCAUGACAUCGGUCAAAUCGGAUUAAAAAUCAUCAUCAAAUACUCAUCAAUUCAUUUGGCUUCUUCAAAACUGAGGUUCGCUGCUGUCCUAGGGAGACCAUUCCAGAAUUAAAAGCCUGUCCAGAUCUUAGUUAUUAAUAGAUAGCAGCUAUUGAUUAGCUCUUGUACCCCAAGAUCAAAUUUAAUCAAACUCUUGCCGUCUUUCAAAUCUUUAUUCUGAUUAACAGCAUCAUCCUUCUACAGGAGCGACAUAUUUCUCUUUGAAGAGUGCAGACCUCUUCUCGUGACUGGGAGUAUAAAGACAUACGCCCUGAUUGAUGGACCAAACGCACCUACGCUUUAUGGCACCUGUUUGAGCUUCCCUGCCAGCAAACUCUGAAUUCAUGGACACUUCUGACUGCCACCAAGACAGAUUGUACAACACAGCAGGUGCCUGAGCAGCUCACAAACGUUUUACAGAUGAAAUGGAUGUAAGGGAAAACCAUUUAUUCUCUUUCAAGUUGGCCUAACAACGCCAUGGAAAUGGUGCCAAGUACUAAGAAAUAAAUAAACGAGCCACAAAAGUGUAAUCUAAACAGGUUAGGCCCAUGGAGUCUCCAGGAAAGAACAAGUUCAGCUGGAAAGCAAUAUCUCUGGCUUCUGAAGGGAGAGAGGAGAGCCUGAGGCCCACUCUAUCACCAUGACUAGGACCAUCUGGCAUUUGGUUCCUCCCAUACCCUCCAACAUUUCUGCAAUGAAAACAGGGACAUCCUAUUCAAUAAUAAUAAUAAUAAUAAUAAUAAUAAUAAUAUACCACACCCAUCUGACUGGGUUGCUCCAGGCAUUCUGGGCAACUUUCAACAUAUAUAAAAACAUAAAACAUUAAAAAAACUUCCCUAUACAAGGCUGCCUUCAGAUAUCUUCUAAAGAUUGUAUGGUUACCUAUCUCCUUGGCUCAGAGAUCACAUAACUCCAUACCCUCCAACAUUUCUCCAAUGAAAAUAGCGACGUCAUAAGGAAAAGUGGGACACACUGGGAUCAAAUCAGAAACUGGAACUUCUUUAAAUCCAGGACUGUACCUAGGAAAUAGGGACACUUGGAGGGUCUGAAAUGAACUUAUUUUCUUUUCCCCUUCACAUGCUUUUUCUCUUUGGGUCAUAAGAGAUUGUAAGCAGCGUUCAAAACUCCCAUUGUUCUAGGCGCGUUUUGCAACAAGGGUUUUCAUUAGCGUGAGCAGUUUCUGAGCUCUGGGCGCAGCACUGCACCUAAGAUUUCAGAUGAAAACUGCAGAGUGGAAGGAAAGGAGGACCUUUUUCUGCUUCCCCACUUCCAGAAACCCUGAAGACUGGAGAAGAGACCCUCUUAGGGAGGUGGGCUGGGGAAGCGUGGCUUUUUGUUUUUUGCAGUCUUCGGAUGAGGACUAGACCGUGUGAAAAAUGAAUAUAAGAUUUUAGCUGUAUUUCAUUCAUUUGCAGCUUUGUAUUCUUGCUAUUAAAAAAGUGCACCUAGACAUUCUGUUGUUGUGCCCAUAUCCUAGGUUUAAGGUGCUAUUUAGCUCCUAGCUUUCAUAUCUCUGUUUCUAACACUGAUUGUAAGGCUACAGGCCAGGACUGUUCAGCGGCAACAACAAGAAACUCUGUCCCCUAUUUUAAUUUUAUAGAGGUUUUUGAGUGGUUAGGGUCAUUAUCUUUACCAGUGUUUGUGGGAUCCUUCUUGUUAGUACAGUUAUACCCUAAGAGUAAUGGCCUUUGAAGAUUAAAAAUGAAUGGAACUGAGCUCUAAAUGAACAACAGUGUACUACCUAUAGCAACCACAUUACACAGGUACAGCUUACUCACUGUGUAAACGUGCGUAGUGCGAAUGGCUACAGUCUCUUGCCACUUCUCUUCAAAGUAGAUCAUUUUCCUUUCCCACGCCAGAUGCACAACAUGCAUUUCUGACAGGCGAUCAAAGAUAGAUUGAUCAAUAAGAAAUACAGGUUUGGAUUUAAUUCUGACAUCUUAUUUAGGGUCCUCACGGAAAAUGUCACUAUAGAAUAUGAUAGGAAGAACAGAAUAUCAUUUUAGGGGUAGCCUUUGAAAGUUUAGGGUAGUGGGCUUAUUUCAAGCACAAAAUGGAGGCUGGUGCAAAUUUUGAAAGCGCAGAUUUUGAAAGAUAGCUGUGUUUUGACCCAUGCAUUGCUUUGGAAAGUGAAAAAUGGAUAGAUCCUGCUUUAAAUGCAACCUGAAUCAAAUUUCCCCCUUAUCCUUAGUGGACGGAUUAUCUACUUGUAAUUGACCUCCUUGAGCUUUGGGUUAAUUUGUUGAUGUUAACAGCUAUUUUUAAUUUGUGUCCCUCUAACCUCUGCUCUCUUGAUAUCACCGAUUAGAAGCAUGGCAGGGACUUACUGGCUUAUGCCGUGAUUAUCACACUUGCCUCUUGGGAUUUUAAUGAUCAGGGUGUUCAAAACUUUAAAAAUGUCAGCUGCUGGCUACCUGGACACACCGUUCCUUUCAGCAAACAUCUUAUUAAUCUUCUGGCUUUUAAGAAGAAAAGUGGGAGAGAAUGUUUUGAGUGAGGUGUUAGUGCCAAAUUAUUUUUAAAUUAAGCCUGGUGAUUUUUUCUUCUUCUCCAGAUCUUGAGAGGAGAAGGGGGGGAGGAAUCCCUUAAAUCUGUGGGGGAAUGGGAUUAAGCCAAGGCACUUCAAGUGAUAGCAGGCUGAAGGCAACAGGAGCUUUCAUGAUGAGAUAUAAUAAGAAGGGACAAAGGAGCAAAGCCUGUUGUCAGGAUGAAAAGAAUACAAAGUCAGGGAGAUAAGUACUUACUCAUUACACACAGGGGAACGUCGUGUAAGUUGUAGAAAUUGAGAGAGUGAUUGAGAAUCCGCAGGUGCUCACUAAAUUUGAAAAUGAAGGUGUGUAUAUAAAAUCAUACCUAUCGAAUUAGGAAGAAUAUGUUAUCCCCGAGAUGUAAAUUUUAGGUAUGGCAGGACUGUGCAAGGGUGAACUAUUUCAUGCUCCCCCAGGUGAGACACAUCAGAGAUAACAAGCAAUAAUGGGUCUCAUUUGUGUAGCAUUCUGCUACUUCAAAGCAUUUCUAAAUAUCACCUUAAUUGUGUCAAAAGAGUAGGCCAAAAGGAAAGGUCGGUGUUAAGGCUGUUUCUUCCGAGAUGUCAAUGUGGGAUGCAUACUCCAAUCAAUUGUCACGGAACCUGAUUUUUAAAUGAUUCAGGUCAAUUACAGCAAGACCUUUGUAAGCCAACCACUCGCACAAUGUCAUUACGAGCUGCUACAGUCAGCUGUCGAGCUCGUUGUUAGUAUUUUGCCAUUUGAAGCAAUUAAGAUACCAACAUGAAUGUCGCCUGGAGGUUCAAACUCAUAAAGCAAGAACAUAAGAAGAGCCUUUCUGGAUGAGACCACACAGGUCUGUCCUGUCUAGUCCUUCCCCCCGCUAAUAGUGACUGCCAAACAUACGCUUCUGGGAAACCCACAAGCAAGGCACAUUUUCAUUUCUCUUGGCCUCAGCACCUGGUACUCAAGGAUAUACUGUAUCUGAACAUAGGUAAAAGGUAAAGGACCCCUGGACGGUUAAGUCCAGUCAAAGGCGACUAUGGGGUGUGGCGCUCAUCUUGCUUUCAGGCCGAGGGAGCUGACGUUUGUCCACAGACAGCUUUUCCAGGCCAUGUGACCAGCAUGGCUAAACCGCUUCUGGAACAAUGGGACACUGUGACGGAAACCAGAGUGCAGAGAAACGCCAUUUACCUUCCUGUCACAGUGGUACCUAUUUAUCUACUUGCACUGGUGUGCUUUCGAACUGCUAGGUUGGCAGGAGCUGGGACAGAGCUCACCUCAUUGUGGGGAUUCAAACCGCCAACCUUCUGAUCAGCAAGCCCAAGAGGCUCAGUGGUUUAGAGCACAGUGCCACCCGCAUCCCUUCAUCUGAACAUAGAGGUUCAGUCUAGCUACCAUGGUUCUUAACAGUUUAUAGGCCUAAACACCACAAGCUUGUUGAACCAUUUUUAAAGGUAUUUAAGCCAGUAGCAAUUGCCAGAAAAUUCCAGAGGUGGAGACCUCUGCCAAAUACUGACUAGACUAAGAGCAUGUUCAGAACCGUGAAGAUUCAAUGCCACAUAAUUUUCACUUCUUUUUGUAGAAAAGUGGCAUUUUUCAUGACAGCUGUAGAGCGGAAAACCUUUCAGUUUGACUUAGCUCCCCCCCUUUGUUAGAACAAUUUAAUUUCUGACUUACUUAUAGCAUCCCCCCUGCUCCCGUGUGUAGAUCCAGCCUGGGUGUGAUUUCCAGUGAAGAAAUGGCAGGCAGGAGAAGAAUGCUUCGUCUCUUUCCCUUUGAGACCAUUCCCUGCUAGCAGGGCUCAUUUCAUUUGCCCUUCUCUGGGUGGGAGAUGGGAGAAAUGUUGCUGGAGAAUGCUUUGCAGGAGGAAAAGCAGUGGGCAGAGGAAUGGUUCGACACUUUUCUCCCACCCUAAUAGUUGCCACUCAUGGCACUUGGCUGCUCUUGGGCGGCAACACCUGUUCAAAGCUACACAUUAACCAAAAUGUUGCAUCGUUCUAAGCUAAGUUGCUGCGUAAGACAAAACCAAAGGCCAAGAUGAAAAUAUCCCCCAUCCGCAAUAUAAUAGUGUUAAGCUGUGUUCCCUGUUCUUACCAUAACCUUCAUUCCUUCUCCAUUAUAGGUGAUUAUGCUACUGGGAGCAUCUAUGAUCACAAGACUCCCAAUUAUUUAGGGACAGUCUUUGUUGCAGACAGACCAACUGCUAAGCGACAGAUUGAUUCAUUGGUCUGGGUUGCAUACUUUAAUUGUGGAUCAUUAUAUUUCGGUACUUGCAUAAUUGGUUUUUAUACUGCUCGGAGGCCUAUUUGAGUGUUAAGUAGUAUACAAAUUACCGCAUUUUGGCUCUAUAAGAUGCACCAGACCACAAGACGCACCUAGUUUUUGGAGGAGGAAAACAAGAAAAAAAAUAUUCUGAAUCUCAGAAGCCAGAACAGCAAGAGGGAUCGCUGCACAGUGAAAGCAGCAAUCCCUCUUGCUGUUCUGGCUUCUGGGAUAGCUGCACAGCCUGCAUUCACUCCAUAAGAUGCACACACAUUUCCCCUUACUUUUUAGGAGGGAAAAUGUGAGUGUUAUAGAGCAAAAAAUAUGGUAAUUAAUUUAUUGACACUUAGGCACCAGGCCUAAGCAAAACCAGUCCUCAAGGGCUGAAAAUGGAGUGUUGCAUGGUACUGGUUAUGCAAAAAAACAAGCAUGGCUGUAUUGUUACGUGUGCAUUUUCAUACACAGUUAUGAUUAAAAAAUAAAAUAAAAAUAAAACAAAUCCCUGCUUCACUAUGCGAAGAAUCAGAGGGAGGUAAAGACAACAUGGGUUUUCUUUGUUCAGCAACUAUGUGUGGCUUUUAAGAGACACAAAUGUAACUUACUUGGAAGAAGAUUUGAUGGGAGUGUGACUCCAGCUGUUUUUCCACUUUGGGAACAGAAAGGUCGUCUGCAUAAGUAUUGCAAUUUGUAUUUUGUUGACGCCCUAUAAAAAACACAGUUCUGACACCUAUCACAUCAAGAGCAGAGAAGAGAUUCUAAAAAGAGAGGAAAUAGCCGUCAAAGAGUUUCUUUCAUACAGGAUCAAAUGAUUGAGAGUGAAAUAUACCCUUUUCCAGAUGAAUAGGUAUCCGGUGAGAAUCUUUCCUUUACAAUAAUUCUUGAUAGUCCUUAUUAAACCUCUAGAUGAAGUAUUUCAAAAAGGUGACUUGAAAGGUUCAAGUAAGAUAGAUUGUUAGGAUUUCUCUAUUUGGAGGUCCAACUGUGUUAAGAAACAGACUAAACUACCAAAAUUGUUAAAGGAGUUGAAUACAACAGAGAAGAAAUGAACAGGCUAAGCUAAAAACUUCACCAUUCUGUUAUGCUUCUCCCUCUGUCUACACCCAAAGAUGGAACUGUAGAAUUCAUUCUGUAUAAAAGUCUCUUCUGUUAAAUGAAAUAAGCACUUUUUAAAAAAGAAGAUCAUUAGGGGAUAAUACAAAGGGGUUCUAGUCUGUAUAAUCUCCGAGAGUUCUUCUUUAAAAAUGCUGCCAAUAUCAUGGCGAGAGAUUUUUUAAAAAUAGAUAAUGUAAGAUACUCAGAUAAUAAAAAAUUGAAAUGGCAAACCAAUCUCUAAAAUAACUUUAGAACAGCUAUAGAAUUGCAUGGCCUGCCCAUUCCCAUUGAUUCAGUUUUCUCGACCUGCACGGAAUGGGAGAGGAUGGGAAGAUCAUAUUGAGUGAUCAGGGUUACACAACAUGGGGUGAAUUAUAUGCUUGUAGAGAGGCUACCUUAAGCACACACCUGCCAACACAUGGAUUUCAGUGGGAGGAGAGAAUGGGAUGCAACCACAGGUAUGUGGGCAGAGAUCUCUUUCUCCCUGUUUGGCCAACUGAGAAAGCCAAAAUGCAGCUGCAAAAAUGCAUUCAGAAAUGGAAAGGAAGCUAAGUCCUUGUGGAAGACAUAUGAGAAAGCCCCCUUGUGUGUGGCUACCAACCUUGUUUCAGAAGGGCAUUGGAACAGGAGGACCAGUCAAUCUUAAAGGAUGGGCAGGUUCACAUAAGAGAUGGUCCUUCAAGAAGAAGAAGAAGAAGAAGAAGAAGUGGAAGAGGAGUUUGGAUCUGAUAUCCCGCUUUAUCACUACCCGAAGGAGUCUCAAAGCGGCUAACAUUCUCCUUUCCCUUCCUCCCCCACAGCAAACACUCUGUGAGGUGAGUGAGGCUGAGAGACUUCAGAGAAGUGUGACUGGCCCAAGGUCACCCAGCAGCUGCAUGUGGAGGAGCGGAGACGCGAACCCGGUUCCCCAGAUUAUGAGUCUACCGUUCUUAACCACUACACCACACUGGCUCUCAAAGCUGUUUAGGGUUUAUAGGUGAUAGCUAAUACUUUUGCAUGGACAGGCGGAGUCCCCCCAACCCCUGGUGACCCCCGAGCGGAAUAAUGACUCAAGACAACAUGCUAUGAGAUUAAAGUUGGCCACAACUUUAUUAAGUUUCAGAUGUAGGGAGACCUUGGCUCAGGCAUUGGGCGUUUAUCCUUCCCAGUCCCCAGCCGGGGCUCUGGGAGACAUCAGGGUUAUCCAGAAUGUGUGGGUAUUGGGCUGGCUCUGGAGAACAUAUGUUCAAGCAGGGAGCCCACCCCCUGUUUCGCCGCCAUUGCAGGGGAGAGCAAUGACAACCUCUCGGCGUAUGGCUAAUGCCUCCCCUCAAGACCCCUUUAAUGGAGAACCCUGGGAUCGCUGCCACAAGGGGUGUGGGUGUGGGUCACCGCUUCACACCUCCCCCCCCAUUUAGGAAGAUAGACAAAAGGAUUCCGCCCAAGGCCAUUGUGUGUUGCUACCAUGUUGUUUCAGAAGGGCAUUGGCACAUGCACAGCAGUCAAUCUUAAAGGAUGGGCAGGUUCUCAUAAGAGAUGGUCCUUCAAGAAGCUUUGCCACAAGCUGUUUAGGGCUUUAUGGGUGAUAGCUAAUACUUUUAAUGGUACUCAGACAUAGCCUGGCAGUUGGUGCAUUGCUAUAAGGUGGUCUCUCUCUGUGUUACAGAAUCCUAGCACCUUGCCCCAGUCAGGAUUUUUUUGCUGCAAUGUUUUGCACCACUUAAAGUUUCUGAGUAGCUUUCAAGAGCCAGCCCCACAUGCAACAUGUGGCAGUAGUCCAGCCAAGAUGUAACUAAUGCAGGCAUGGCCAAACUUGGCCCUCCAGCUGUUUUGGAACUACAACUCCCAUUACACCUAGCUAACAGGACCAGUGGUCAGGAAUGAUGGGAACUGUAGUCCCAAAACAGCUGGAGGGCCAAGUUUGGCCGUGCCUGAAAUGCAUGUAGGGUUAUUUCCAGGCCUGGCCAUUCCAGGAACAGGUGCAAUUGACAUACCAGCCAACAUCGCGGCACAAUCAUGUGUGAGAAACAUCAGAGACAACCUCAGGAACACCCAAAACAAUGAGAAUUACAGUGGUACCUCAGGUUACAUAUGCUUCAGGUUACAGACUCCGCUAACUCAGAAAUAGUACCUCAGGUUAAGAACUUUGCUUCAGGAUGAGAACAGAAAUUGUGCUCCGGCCCCAUUAUCUAAAGUGGUGCUUCAGGUUAAGAACAGUGUCAGGUUAAGAACGGACCUCCGGAACGAAUUAAGUACUUAACCUGAGGUACCACUGUAUAUACAAAGUGAUUUAUGAGUAGAUGAAACAAGAAUACAUGUAAAAUGAACACACACACAAACACACACAAACACGGGUGGCAGCCACUGUUGUGCAACGCCUACAGAAAUUUCUCCAAACACCUCAAAUUUUUCUAUUAUUUCCACAAUAUCUUCUGGAUACUGUGUUCCAUUUUUAUACCAUUUUCAUGGUUGGGGGGGUGGUCCUGUGGUUUUGUAUGUCCUGUUCUUGGUGGUCUUUUUGUUUUGGUGAUGUUUUAAGUGUAACUUGCUAGCAGCUUGGGGUUAGAAAAAUCAUUUAAAUAAUUCACUUUUGCUUUUAGGUGGUGGUGGUGGGGAGUUGGUUUUAAAAAGAAUGAGAGUUAUUCUGAUUACUUUUAGGUUGGCCACCCCCAAAUUUCUCUAGCAAGAGCAGAGAGGCCUUUCUCUGUUUAAUUUAAACAGAGAAGAGCAAAUUUUGCUCAAUAUCCUACCAUUUAUUUCCUAAGUAGAAAUUCCACAGGCGAAGGAAGGGGGAGGGAGGGGGAGAGCUGGGGUCGGGGAGGGGAGGGGAGGGAAAGUAAUCCUCUUUGCCAAACAAAACAUCAAAAAUCUCAGUAAUUUUGUAAAUGGCAUUUACUGCUUCAGCUGAAAUGUUUUGAUGUUUUUUGAUGUUUCUCAAUGAAAACAGAAGCAGAAAGGAUGAAUUGCUUUGCAUUUAUGCAGUGGGCUUCACAGUUAGCACCUCAAAGCGCAGGGAUUAUUGGCUCUGUCAUGUUUGCUUUGUGUUUAGGUCCCCUCAGAAGACUCUUCAGCAUCGGUCUUCAGGGAGAACGGAUGAGUAAUUGAAAUGAUGUCAUCCUGGAAAAGCGUCGCAGCCAAUAUGCCAGCUUCCUUCAGUUCUAGUGAAAGGAGGCUAGUACUUCUGUGCAUUUUCCACUUCUUCUUUGAAUACUUGGUCAUGCCCUUCAGGCUAUGCAAUUCACCCCUGUCUUGCAACGUCUAACGAAUGAUAUUUUCCACGGGAUCUUGGACUAUUGUGUUAUUGUAGAUCUUAAUGCAGGCUUCCUCAACCUCGGCCCUCCAGAUGUUUUGAGACUACAGUUCCCAUCAUCCCUGACCACUGGUCCUGCUAGCUAGGGAUCAUGGGAGUUGUAGGCCAAAAACAUCUGGAGGGCUGAGGUUGAGGAAGCCUGUCUUAAUGUCACGCUUCCUUGGUCUUCACCUUACUUCCGUGAUUUAGGUUGUUUUAAACUGUUUUGAAUGUUGUGUUUAAUUGUUGUGACCUGCCCCGGAACUUUGGGGUAAAGAAUGGGUAAUUAGUAAUAAUUAAACCAUCCCAUACCUCUGUAUUCUACACAUAUGAUUCAUCUUGGAGAGCCUCUGAAAAACCAACUCUAUGCAGCUGUGAUUAUGACUGACCCAAGUUGAAUUUUGUGGAUAUCCAUCACCCCCAAGGCACUGGGAUGGACCCCCACUGCUGUCCUGAUUCCCACUGAAAACUGAAAGGUGUUCAGUGUUUCCUUGGAUUUGCAAAUUAUUACUGUGGUUUCAUCCCCAGCUUCUCCACAAUAGUCAUACUAUUGAGAGAUCUGUUAAGGAGCCAGUCUAGCUUCAAGUGGACCUUUUGACUACCUGAAACAGAAGCUCACCAUGACAAUCUGGGAUUGCCAACCCUGGAACUGCUUCAAUGUUCUUCUCUUCUGUCACAAUGCCCUUUCAGCAGACCAUUUGUGGCUUUACCAAACGCUCCAUCAAAUUUAGCCAGACAUUUUUAUCGGCAUAGGUAAAUAAUCCACACGACAGCCAAAAUAUAAAUGCAGGUAGCCAAAUAGUUAGAAGUUACAUCUGGAUAUAUGGACUACUGGCUGCAAAGCCUGGUGGGACGCUCUUUCACAAGAGACCAAGGCCCUCUGGGAUUUGACAUCUUUCUGCAGGGCCUGCAAAAUGGAGCUGUUCAGCCAGGCCUUUGGGCAGGAUGCAGUUUGACUUACUUUCCUUUGUAUAAAACAAGCCUGAAGGAGGCCUCCAACCCGCUCACAGGUACUUGUAUGAUCAGUGGAAACAGUUGGUCCUGGCAAGUAUUAACCACUCUCAAUUCCAACCUGAAAAUUGCCACCUGCCCAG
This 27191-nucleotide long non-coding RNA is filed under the name Podarcis lilfordi (Lilford's wall lizard). Lineage: Eukaryota; Metazoa; Chordata; Lepidosauria; Squamata; Lacertidae. The record is from RNAcentral.